UAGUUCAUUAUGGGUCUGGUAUCAUAUCUUGUAUAUGUGGCAAAAGCGUAUGUUACUAAAGAGAUAAGAUUGCUGCUUGCCUUAUCCAUGAAAAUCUAGUUCAGAACUGCCACGUGUCUGCCAGCACUUGUGUGAAUUUUCCAUGUGAUUGAUGGCUUGCAUCAAGUAGUGUUGCCAAGUAUUUGGAAAUUUGAGUUGUGACCUCACAUGGAUACAUGGAUAUGUCUUCUCCUAUGAGGUGAAUAAUAAAAUGAGCAAGUUCUGUUUCUUUUCUACUUCGAAUCUAUCAAAGUUUUCUUGGAUUGGUAGUUAUUUUUAAUGACUAUUACAUGGAGGACAUUUUUAAUGAGUACUCAUAUGUCUUCUCCUAUGAGUGAUGUGUUUGUUUUACUAAUAGGUAUAAGUUCCUUGCAUAUUAUCUGACACCAUAUUUCUCUAAUUACAUUCAUAAUGCUGCCAUCUCAGGUAAAAGGUUUGGAUGUAGACACUGUUUGUGUCUCAUUUCCAGGUAAAUCAAGCCCAGAAGCAGAGGCGCUGCACAUACCGUGCCCAUGGAAGAAUCAACCCCUAUAUGUCCUCACCUUGCCAUAUCGAGCUGAUUUUGUCCGAGAAGGAAGAACCUGUCAAGAAGGAGCCUGAAAGGCAACUGGCUUCUUGGACAACCAGGAAAGCACAAGUACUCCACAGUGGCACCUCAUCCUGAGUGGCACUAGUUGUAGAAGGUAGAGUAUUUUCCUUUAAAGUCUCUUCUUUUUUUGAUCCGAGUAUUUUUGAUAUUUUGCUUGAGAUCUUCAUCCUUGGGACGUGUAUUUGAAUCAUUUAUCUGGGGUGCUGCAUGUUGGACCCCAUUAAACCAGCUCUAGUACAUUUUCACAUGCAUUGCUGUCCAAGAGUAGUUUAAUUUUUAGGGGGGAGUGCCUCUGACAAAGUCCCUGCUCGGGUGGGCACACAAAUCAGAUUCAGGAGUAAGUAGUUUGGCUGGUGUUUAGAUGCAGUAUUGAAUUGAAUUGCCUUGAGCAGGAGAUUUUAUAUUAUUACAUGGAGGACAUAUUGACUAUUUUUAAUGACUAUUACAUGGAGGACAUUUUA
Molecule: long non-coding RNA, 1089 nt
Organism: Magnolia sinica
Lineage: Eukaryota; Viridiplantae; Streptophyta; Magnoliopsida; Magnoliales; Magnoliaceae
Exons: 3
Source: RefSeq, a predicted model, not a curated record